CUGCCGUGAUCGUGGUCUGCA
This 21-nucleotide non-coding RNA is filed under the name Arabidopsis thaliana (thale cress). Lineage: Eukaryota; Viridiplantae; Streptophyta; Magnoliopsida; Brassicales; Brassicaceae. The record is from RNAcentral.